GACGAACGCUGGCGGCGCGCUUAACACAUGCAAGUCGAGCGAGAACCAGGGCUUCGGCCCCGGGGACAGCGGCGAACGGGUGAGUAACACGUGGGUAAUCUGCCCUCGGCACCGGAAUAGCCCGGGGAAACCCGGAUUAAUGCCGGAUGGCCCCUUCACCUCGCGAGGUGUCGGGAAAAGGUAGCUUCGGCCUCCGGCCGAGGAUGAGCCCGCGGCGGAUUAGCUUGUUGGCGGGGUAACGGCCCACCAAGGCGACGAUCCGUAGCUGGUCUGAGAGGACGAUCAGCCACACUGGGACUGAGACACGGCCCAGACUCCUACGGGAGGCAGCAGUGGGGAAUCUUGCGCAAUGGGCGAAAGCCUGACGCAGCGACGCCGCGUGAGGGAAGAAGGCCUUCGGGUUGUAAACCUCUUUCAGGAGGGACGAAGCCACUCGGGUGAACAGCCCAGAGGGUGACGGUACCUCCAGAAGAAGCCCCGGCUAACUACGUGCCAGCAGCCGCGGUAAUACGUAGGGGGCAAGCGUUGUCCGGAUUUACUGGGCGUAAAGCGCGUGUAGGCGGCCGCACAGGUCCGUUGUGAAAACUGGAGGCUUAACCUUCAGACGUCGACGGAAACCGUGUGGCUAGAGUCCGGAAGAGGAGAGUGGAAUUCCUGGUGUAGCGGUGAAAUGCGCAGAUAUCAGGAAGAACACCAAUGGCGAAGGCAGCUCUCUGGGACGGUACUGACGCUGAGACGCGAAAGCGUGGGGAGCGAACAGGAUUAGAUACCCUGGUAGUCCACGCCGUAAACGAUGGGUGCUAGGUGUGGGAGGUGUCGACUCCUUCCGUGCCGCAGCUAACGCAUUAAGCACCCCGCCUGGGGAGUACGGCCGCAAGGCUA
This 882-nucleotide ribosomal RNA is filed under the name uncultured bacterium. RNAcentral describes it as "bacterial SSU rRNA". It matches the Rfam family "Bacterial small subunit ribosomal RNA", at positions 28 to 896 of the family's 1533-position model. The record is from RNAcentral.